RNAcentral lists this ribosomal RNA (2613 nucleotides) under Ityphilus sp. JM-2013. RNAcentral's name for it is "eukaryotic LSU rRNA". It matches the Rfam family "Eukaryotic large subunit ribosomal RNA", at positions 66 to 1850 of the family's 3401-position model. The record is from RNAcentral. Lineage: Eukaryota; Metazoa; Arthropoda; Chilopoda; Geophilomorpha; Ballophilidae.
UAACUAGGAUUCCCUUAGUAACGGCGAGUGAACAGGGAAAAGCCCAGCACCGAAUCUCCCGUCCCAUGAUGUGGGCGAGGCGAAAUGUGGUGUUUGAGAGGAAGUCACUUCCAACUGCGGCAAGCCUAAGUCCCCCUGACUGGGGCCACAACCCAUGGCGGGUGCAAGGCCCAUUUGGCUGAUUCCGCAGCUUGCGAGGCUCGACUUUUAUUUCACCUCUCUAGAGUCGGGUUGCUUGAGAGUGCAGCCCAAAGUUGGUGGUAAACUCCAUCUAAGGCUAAAUACUUCCACGAGACCGAUAGUAAACAAGUACCAUGAGGGAAAAUUGCAAAGAACUUUGAAGAGAGAGUUCAAGAGUACGUGAAACCGCUUGGAGGUAAACGGGUGGGCCCUCGAAGGUCGAAAGGAGGGAUUCAACCCGUCGCUCGAUUUUUUGGCCAGCUGGUUUUUUCUAUUCUCCAUGCAGAUCACUGUCGGUGACUAGCGUUUAAACGUACCCUGAAAAAUCGGGACGGCCGACGGGUGUGGAGACGAGUGGCGGGCGCACUUCCCUCUCAGUAGGACGCCGCGACCGGUCGGGUCACAAACAGAAUUGCAGCCAUGAGGCACGAUAUUUGGGCAGGUAUCCGUUGCCGGUUUUCGCCACCCAUUCAAUACUCUUGCUUUGGGAUCUAAGGCGUCCGGUCGGAGUUACAGCCUUUCGUGACCGGUCAUUUGCUCUGCAACCCGACCGCACAAAAGAACUGUCCAUGGCGUAUUAUACAUAGCGCGCACCUUGGCAUUAGAAGGCAGGGGGUAGUUUUGUAAAGAUUUCUGUAACGUCGAGAAACUCGACGGUCAGAGAUUCUACCCUCGCUCUCUCUGGUGCCUGCUCUCUGGUGCUCAUGAGACAUCAAGUNNNNNNNNNNNNNNNNNNNNNNNNNNNNNNAUGAAAGUGAAGGCACGUUCUUCUCGAACGGCCGAGGCAGGAUCCUUUUAUGAAUCCGGUUUAAAAAAUUACAACCAGCUGAUUAAAUGGCUUAGCGGUGAGUGGCAUUCGUUCCCCAUCGAUUUUCUCUCUCUCGUUUCGGCGAGCUGAGGGUUUUGGUGGUUUGGUGGCGGUGUUGCGUUUGGAACCGCGGCUCCGGAAAUUAACCAAAUCGGUAUAAUCACUAGAACGCUCCCUCCAAAAUUAUGAAUGGGCGCUCGCCGUGUCCCCUUUGCUGGGGUAAAGGUGAUGUUUCGCUCGGAGGGUAAGGUGUUAAAGGCACAAAUGCGUUUCUAUAUAUUAUAGCAUCCGAUAUUUUUUGGAGGCGCACUGCCGGCCCGUUUUGACCGCCCUCGGUGACUAUCUUUGCGCGUGCAAGCGUUUGCUUUGAAAAAUCUCGAUAGUCGGUGAAGCGGAGCAAGAGCACACACGUUGGUACCCGAAAGAUGGUGAACUAUGCCCGGGCAGGACGAAGCCAGAGGAAACUCUGGUGGAGGUCCGUAGCGAUUCUGACGUGCAAAUCGAUCGUCGGACCUGGGUAUAGGGGCGAAAGACUAAUCGAACCAUCUAGUAGCUGGUUCCCUCCGAAGUUUCCCUCAGGAUAGCUGGUGCUCGAAUUAUAUAAAAGUUUCAUCCGGUAAAGCGAAUGAUUAGAGGCCUUGGGGUCGAAACGACCUCAACCUAUUCUCAAACUUUCAAUGGGUGAGAAGUCUGGCUUGCUUAAAUAUAUUACUGCAAUUGUCAUGAUUUUUACCGAUUCAAAACUCGAAUGCCUUUAGAGUGGAAUCGGUACAGACUCUUGCAUUUGAAGCACAGACAUUGAAUGCGAGUGCCCAGUGGGCCACUUUUGGUAAGCAGAACUGGCGCUGUGGGAUGAACCAAACGUUGGGUUACGGUGCCUAAUGCAGACGCUAAUCAGAGCCCAUGAAAGGUGUUGGUUGCUAUUGACAGCAGGACGGUGGCCAUGGAAGUCGGAAUCCGCUAAGGAGUGUGUAACAACUCACCUGCCGAAGCAACUAGCCCUGAAAAUGGAUGGCGCUCAAGCGUCGAACCUAAACCCAACCGCCAGUAAGCAAAGAAAUAUAUUUUUACAUAUAUUGUCAAUGCUCUGGCGAGUAGGAGGGUCGUAAUGGUAUACGCCGAAGGCUAGGACGCAAGUCCGGCUGGAGUUGCCAUUAGCGCAGAUCUUGGUUGAAGUAGUAGAUAGUCGAGUGAGAACCUUGACGGCUGAAGUGGAGAAGGGUUCCAUGUGAACAGCAGUUGAACAUGGGUCAGUCGGUCCUAAGGAAUAGGGGAAACCCGUUCCAAAUGUUUGGGAAGUAUAUAUUACAUACAUUUCUCUCCCGACUAAACCGAAAGGGAAUCGGGUUAAUAUUCCCGAACCAGGCUGUGGAGAAAUUUUUUCUCUUUAUCAAAUGAGAGGAUCGAAGCGGUAACGCAAAAACAAACUCGGAAACGUCGGCGAUUGUCCCGGAGAGAGUUUUCUUUUCUUUUUAAGGGGCCAAUUCCAUGGAAUCGGUUCGACCGGAGAUAUGGAUUGCGUUUCCCGUAAAGCACCGCGGCUCUUGCGGUGUCCGGUGAACUGUCGGCGGCCCUUGAAAAUCCGAGCGAGAGAUCUUGAUAAUUUCCACACCUGGCCGUACCCA